Molecule: unclassified non-coding RNA, 1995 nt
Filed under: Hevea brasiliensis (rubber tree)
Lineage: Eukaryota; Viridiplantae; Streptophyta; Magnoliopsida; Malpighiales; Euphorbiaceae
Source: RNAcentral
UGUAAAAUCAACUGAUGGAUCUAGCAUUUUAAUUUCUACUGAAUCUACAAGCACUAAUCCUCCACUCCAUGAGCCCUAACUAUUUUCAUUCUUUCUCCUCUUAAGUUUUUGCAUGUUGCAUUUCAAGUCCAUACAGUUUACCCAAUUAUAUUACAAUGAACUUUCAAAUUUCCAAUUCUAACAUCUUCAAAUCCAUCGGAUCUUGUCAUCAAUUUCCUUGAAUCCAUUUCUUCCCUUUCCCCUACAUGGGCUCAACACAGUCCGUACAAGUACCCGAAGAAGAUGAUGAGAGUGAAGAAGAAGAAGAAGAAGACGAUCAUAAUGUGGUAGGAGCUUUAAGAGAAAUUGAUGGCAACAAUUUGGUUAAGAAGGUUCUCGAACAAGAGCCUGAAAUACUACCUUGCCAUGCUUCAGCAUCGCCGCUCUCUCCUCAGGUCUCUUCCUUAGGUACGCCGCGCCUCUGCCCGUCGAUUAAGGUGUGGGACCCUUACAAUGUCUUGGCCCCACCUCUGCCGCUUCCUCCACCUCCCCCUUUUCCAAUUUUCUCUCGGAGCUUGUCGUCGUCUUCGUCCGGUGGGAUUGUUGACGAGGAUCGCGUCGUUACGGAGGUGUUUUUGAUUAAUCAUGGAGAGUGCGACCUUAAUUUAAGGCCAGAUUUGGUCGGUGGGAGAUGCCACGUGGCGGCUUUGACGCCGAUUGGGAAACGUCAGGCUAGGGCUUUAGCUGUGUUCUUGAACUCUCUAGGGGUGAAGUUCAAUGCGGUUUAUUCCUCGCCCUUGGAUCGAGCAAGAUCAACUGCUGUUUCUGUUUGCCAGGAAAUAAAUUUUGCGGAGGAACAGAUACAAUCAUCAGAUGCACUUGUAGAGAUGAGUCUGGGGCAUUGGGAGGGGUGCCCCUGUUCAGAAAUAUAUACCCCUGAAGUUCUGAGCUUGAUUGAAAGUUGCCAGCCUGAUUUUUGUGCACCAUCUGGAGAAUCAUUAAGGCAGGUGGAAUUUAGGAUGGUUCAGUUCUUAAAUAGGAUUCUUGGACUGCCUGAAAAGUUGAGAUCAGAUUUCACGUUGCACCAUCAAAUCAAGAGCCAAGGGUUUUCUCAUGAUCGAGAUCCACCUCCUCUAUUGCCACAACAUUGGGAUAUGAAUCACAGGCAUCGACCAUUGUUCUCAAGGAAGAAGUCUGGUAAGAGCAGGCUGCAGUAUGUGACUACCACUGGCAAUCAUGAGGGUGAGGAUGAGAUCUCUCCCAGGGGAGCACCAAAGUGCACUGCAUAAUUUGAGUGUUAGGAGCUCAACCUCCAUCUCUUCAUGUAUUGGUGUUUUCACUCAUUCAAUUCCUAUUAAGUGCCUCCUCACAGGCCUCCUGGGUUGCAGCCCAGUAAUGUUACAUAGGAUCUGCAUAGAAGAUUCUUCAGUGACAGUAUUGCUUCAUUCAUGGAAAACAGGUUGGCAGAUAAAACGCUGGAAUGAUACUGCACAUCUUAGGCUUCUCUAGUUAGAGAAUUAUGAAAUCCCUGCUUGGAAUUUACUUCUGGGAUGAUGAGCUGUUAAUUAUUGGGUGAAAGCUGGUAUUUUAUUCAUUUAUGGAUCAUGUUGCAAGUCACGAUUACAUGUGAACUGAUGUUACUUCUACACUCUGUUAUACUGUUUGACAGAUUUAUUUACACUCAUAUAGACUUACCACCUUGAAAUUAAAAGAGGAUCGAGGUCGGGAGUUGGGUAUUUGUAUUGGGUGAUUCUUUUGAUUUGUAACAUUUACAAGUGUUGUUAUUGUAGAGGGAAAGAUAUAUAUUUUUCCCCUUUUCAUGUAUUAGGAAGAAAUAAGUUAUUUUAGGAUGAUGAACUGUGAAGUUGUAUUUUUGCCGAUUCUUACCAUUUGAGAAGAGCUACCUGAGACAUGCCCUAUUAUUUCAUUUAUGAUUACAACAAAACAUUUUCACUAAUUAGCAAGUUUAUCAUUUUUUUUUUCUAAAAAAAAAAAAAUGAUAAACUUGCUAAUUAG